This 489-nucleotide ribosomal RNA is filed under the name uncultured bacterium. RNAcentral's name for it is "partial 16S ribosomal RNA". It matches the Rfam family "Bacterial small subunit ribosomal RNA", at positions 30 to 506 of the family's 1533-position model. The record is from RNAcentral.
AUUGAACGCUGGCGGCAGGCCUAACACAUGCCAGUCGAACGGUAACAGGAAGAAGCUUGCUUCUUUGCUGACGAGUGGCGGACGGGUGAGUAAUGUCUGGGAAACUGCCUGAUGGAGGGGGAUAACUACUGGAAACGGUAGCUAAUACCGCAUAACGUCGCAAGACCAAAGAGGGGGACCUUCGGGCCUCUUGCCAUCGGAUGUGCCCAGAUGGGAUUAGCUAGUAGGUGGGGUAACGGCUCACCUAGGCGACGAUCCUUAGCUGGUCUGAGAGGAUGACCAGCCACACUGGAACUGAGACACGGUCCAGACUCCUACGGGAGGCAGCAGUGGGGAAUAUUGCACAAUGGGCGCAAGCCUGAUGCAGCCAUGCCGCGUGUAUGAAGAAGGCCUUCGGGUUGUAAAGUACUUUCAGCGGGGAGGAAGGGAGUAAAGUUAAUACCUUUGCUCAUUGACGUUACCCGCAGAAGAAGCACCGGCUAACUCCGU